This 354-nucleotide unclassified non-coding RNA is filed under the name soil metagenome. RNAcentral describes it as "partial contains 5.8S ribosomal RNA, internal transcribed spacer 2, and large subunit ribosomal RNA". The stretch from base 1 to 120 matches the Rfam family "5.8S ribosomal RNA", at positions 35 to 154 of the family's 154-position model. The record is from RNAcentral.
GAUGAAGAACGCAGUGAAAUGCGAUAAGUAGUGUGAAUUGCAGAAUUCAGUGAAUCAUCGAAUCUUUGAACGCACAUUGCGCCUCCUGGUAUUCCGGGAGGCAUGCCUGUUCGAGCGUCAUUAAAAUCACUCAAGCUUAGGUUUACCUAUUGCUUGGUCUUGGAGAUGGAAGCCAAUUUAUUGGAAUCCUCUUCAAAAUUCAAUGGCGAAGACCCUUGCUCUCCCAAGUGUAGUAAUAACUUAUGUCACUGAAGGAAGCGAGAAAUCUUCUGCCGUAACCCCCAUAUUUUCUAUGAUUGACCUCGGAUCAGGUAGGGAUACCCGCUGAACUUAAGCAUAUCAAUAAGCGGAGGA